UACGUAGGGUGCGAGCGUUGCCCGGAUUUAUUGGGCGUAAAGGGCGCGUAGGCGGCCACGCACGUCCGUUGUGAAAUCGCCCGGCUCAACUGGGCGGGGUCAGCGGAUACGGUGUGGCUCGAGCAAGCUAGGGGGCAAUGGAAUUCCCGGUGUAGCGGUGAAAUGCGCAGAUAUCGGGAGGAACACCAAUGGCGAAGGCAGCUCGCUGGGACGUUACUGACGCUGAGACGCGAAAGCGUGGGGAGCAAACAGGG
Molecule: ribosomal RNA, 254 nt
Filed under: uncultured bacterium
Lineage: Bacteria
Description: partial 16S ribosomal RNA
Rfam family: Bacterial small subunit ribosomal RNA
Source: RNAcentral